UGGGCGUGCGAUCGAGAGCAGGAGCCAAGGAAGAGCUAAAACCCUAACAACCUAAAAUCAUCAAAUUGAAAAGGGAAUCAAGGGCUAAUCGAAUGCAUGGGUCUAGAUACCCUUUAAUCUAAGUGUAUUGAUCAUAAGGAGUCAUGUCAACAUCGACACAAACAUGGAAGCGCCAUGGGUCGAAGGUAACUACGGAAGCUAUGUGUAAAUUCGGAUGCACGAGGUACACUAUAAAGGGCCUUGAGAAGGUUCAAGGAAUUGGAAUGCAUGAUUGCACAUGGAAAGCUGAUUUGAACAAGAUUAGCACGAGAAGAAGGAAUACGGAGUGGUUAUUUGAUUGAGUAUGAUUAACUUAGGAAUGACGUCACCAAAUCUUAAUAUUGUGUAUGUAUGUGGUGAAUGCAGGUUGCGCGGAUAUAACAUCAUUAUGAAGAAUAGGACGAUUGGAGAUCGAGUCAAGAGCAAGGAUUGUACGGGAAGUGAUGUGUGUUGGUGUGAAUAUAAUUUUAGUUAUA
Molecule: long non-coding RNA, 515 nt
Organism: Helianthus annuus (common sunflower)
Lineage: Eukaryota; Viridiplantae; Streptophyta; Magnoliopsida; Asterales; Asteraceae
Exons: 3
Source: RefSeq, a predicted model, not a curated record